GGAGCGGCGGGAGGGGCGCCUGGAGGGAGGCGCCGGGGCCCCUGCGGAGAACCGAGGUGCCAAGACCUGGCGGCCCCGGGAGCCCGAGGGCCGGGGCAAGGGAACCCCAGGGUUGUUCCCGGAAAGAAGCUGAACCUGGCGCCCUCCCCCUGCCCCCAAACACCCUCCCCCGCCUUGAAGCCGCCCCUGGGCUCGCGGUGGGACCUCAAGUCUCCAGAAGAACCUGGUGGUGCUGGGAUGCUCUUGAAUGGGCUACUCCAAGUACCGAUAUGGAUAAUGUUUACAAAUUACUUUGGAUGUCUAGCGACAGAGACUUGCACGCAGUAGAUGCUCAAUAAAUACUAAAUGAAGGCCUGAACUGCAGGGAGCAGCGCUGCAGCGGGACGGAGUUCAAGUUCCUGCGCACUCGCCGUCCAUUCUGCCUGUCUUGAACCCUUCUAGGGGCCGUGCUACGCUAGGUGCUGGCGAUAUGACAAAGAACCAGCUUGACAUGGACCCUGCCUUUACAGGGCUUACUGCCCAGUGCCAUGAACUCCGGUUAGAUCAUUGUGGCCUUUACUUAAAAAAGAAAUGGACGUAUUCCCCAGCCUGCCUUCCGUGGCACUAACUGCCUGCUUGAGCGUUUGCUCUGGGAAUGCAUGCCUCUCUAGGGCACCUUGAGGCUUCUGGGGAGCCCUGUGUCAGCAGCUUCUUUCUCAUCAUCCAUCUCCUGCCGUCAACCUCCAGGUUACUGAGUUCCAGGCCAAGAUCCUCAGAGCUCACUGUCAUCCAUGGGAAGGGUGGGCUUCCCUCCAUCUUCCCUACAUCACCGCCAACUGGCCUCACCUUGCAGAUGAAAAGACCAAACCCCCAGAAAUACAGGAACCCACCCAAGGUCACAACACAGAUUCGGACCCGAGGGAACUCUUCUGAUCCCUGGACAGGUCAUCUAAAUGUUUGCUGAAUCAUAGAACCAGAUUUGGAAGAGGUCAUUCCAAGAUACUGCCUAGUUCACCUUUCCACCUCUGAAUAAGAUUCCAGUUUAUAUGACCAUCCAAGACUUCUAUAGACCAGGUCCACAUAGUCAAAGCUAUGGUUUUUCCAGUAGUCAAUGUACUACCGAUGUGAGAAAUGGACCAUACCGAAGGCUGAGUGCCAAAGAAUUGAUGCUUUCGAAUUGUGGUGUUGGAGAAGACUCCUGAGAGUCUUCUCAGGAGAUGAAACCAGUCAGUCCUAAAGGAAAUCGACCCUGAAUGUUCACUGGAAGAACUGAUGCUGAAGCUGAAGCUCCAACACUUUGGCCACUCAUUGGUGAAGACCCUGAUGCUGGGAAAGAUUGAAAGCAAAAGGAGUAGGCAGGGGCAGAAGAUGAGAUGGUUCAGCAGCAGCAUCAACUCAGUGAACAUGGAUUUGAGCAAACUCAAGGAGAGCGUGAAGGACGGGGAGGCUGGCACGCUGGGGUCUGCAGAGCUGCAAAGAGUCGGACACAACUGAGUGACUAGUCAGCAACAGGAUUUCCGAAUAUAGCUAGUGAUAGAGAUUCCACAUUUUGUAUUGAUAGACUUCCCCCAAAUCUGCCAGCUUUGGGGAAGUCAAACCUUUUCUCACUUCCAAUCCAAAUCUCUUCCUUCCUAAGUCUUCCAGUAUGUAAGUGAAGAUCAGCAAGACCCUCACAAUAACUUUCAUCUAUUAGAGAUUAAACUGUCCAACAACCUUGUCUUCAUGUCAAGUGAUUCUUUUUACCCCUUUACCAAGAUGUUCAACUCACUUUUCUUAAAAACAUCUUUUUUCCCAUAAGUGUCAGAAAAGAAAAUCAGAAUCUCUCUAAGCCUUACUGAGUUUCUCCGUCUACAAAAUAGGGAUAAGUAUUAAGUAUUAAUACAAAAUAUUUGGUCAACCAACACCAAUCUUCUUCAGCAGGAAGCACAAAUAAGCAAGUGAACUGUGCCAAGUUUCAUUCCAUCUCUUCAUCUGUAAAAUGGGACACUAAAUGUCCGAUGCCAAAUGUAGUUCCUUCAGGGUGGCUUAAGGGGAAAAUAGAUAAUAACGGUGCUUUGUGAAAUGUGCAAGAAUUCACAGAUGUAAGGGAUCAUUAUUACGAUUCCUGGAUCCACAAAGUUUUUCUAAUUCUAUGCCAGGCACACAGCGAGCACUUUGAAAGAUCACUCCAUUUAUUUCUCAUAACAAUCCUAGAAAAUGGUUCCUAUUAUCAUCAUGAUUUCAUUUAAAACAAUGCCGGGCAUGCAUUAGGUGCUUAAAUAUUUUGUCAAGGAGGAAGUGGGAGCUUGGAGAGGCUAGUGGCCUGUCCAAGUAAAUGUGCCUUGUUAGAGAAGGUAGAAAUUGAACUUGGCCUCCACUCAUUUCUAAAUCAAAGUACCAUUCCUUACGCAGAACUAAUUACAUAAAGUUACUUUGAUCUCCGGAGUAGAGUCAAUUCUACUUGAAAUUGCAGCUGAAACUGUCUCUUCCUGUUCCCAUCUCCUUGGCAUCUACCCACCUUCUGGGUCUCUUGCAUUCUCCACCUUACCAAAGUGUGCUCUCUUUCCUCUGAAAGAACUGAAGGAUGUUCUUCCCACCCCAGAAGCAUUUGCAUUUCAACACUAGGUGAACCUUUAAGCCAAAAUAGUGAAUAUGAAUCUUAGACCAUUAGAAUCAUCAAAGAAAUGAACUGUUGGGGAAGAAGUGAGCAAAGAAAGUGAAAGUAGCAGCUGCUUAGUCGUGUCCGACUCUUUGCGACCCCGUGGACUGUGGCCCACCAGGCUCCUCCAUCCAUGGAAUUCUCCAGGCAAGAACCCUGGAGUGGGUUGCCAUUUCCUUCUCCAGGGGAUCUUCCUGACCCAGGGAUCGAACACAUGUCUCCUGCAUUGCAGGAAGACGCUUUAACCUCUGAGCUACCAGGGAAGCCUGCAGGGAAGGAGGUGGCUGCUGCUGCUGCUGCUGCUGCUAAGUCCCUUCAGUCGUAUCCAACUCUGUGCAACCCCAUAGACGGCAGCCCACCAGGGGGAUUCUCCAGGCAAGAACACUGGAGUGGAUUGCUAUUUCCUUCUCCAAUGCAUGAAAGUGAAAAGUGAAAGUGAAGUUGCUCAGUCGUGUCCAACUCAUAGCGACCCCAUGGACUGCAGCUUACCAGGCUCCCCCAUCCACGAGAUUUUCCAGGCAAGAGUACUGGAGUGAGGUGCCAUUGCCUUCUCCAGAAGGAGGUGGGAAAGCCUUUAUUUUGACUCUGAAAUCAUACCCAAUCACAGCAGGUACAUGGCCAUCUUGAAGAAUUCAGUCAGAUAAGCAGUCUUGUUGGUAUUACUUUGACUUUGCUAGGUCUUACCCAGUUCUCCACGACCACAUGAUAUUGCUGGGCCAUUCUUCUCUUCCAGGGGUUGGUUAAUAAUGCUGAUUAGAGAAAGAGGAUCUCUUUCCAAUUUAUGCAGUAUUCCUAUAUUUAGAUUCCGAUAUUAUGCUACUUAAAAUAGCCCUCUAAUGUUACUGACACACAUUGAAAUAUGGACCCACUUGGACCUGUGAAAUAAUUAAUGAUCUACACCACUCUCUUCAUCAGGAAUUAAAGUUAAGCUGACAACUAUUUCUAGGAGUCUUAUUGUAUCUUUUAUGGAAGAUCAUUCUUUUUCAUUUCCAAAUAUGGGGUAUUAUUUUUUCAGUAAGGGAAUCCAGAGGGCUGUAUUACCAGGUUUCAAAAUGCUGAGCGAUCAGAAGGCAAUGGCACCCCACUCCAGUACUCUUGCCUGGAAAAUCCCAUGGACAGAGGAGCCUGGAAGGCUGCAGUCCAUGGGGUCGCUGAGGGUCGGACAUGACUGAGCGACUUCACUUUCACUUUUCACUUCCAUGCAUUGGAGAAGGAAAUGGCAACCCACUCCAGUGUUCUUGCCUGGUGAAUCCCAGGAAUGGGGGAGCCUGGUGGGCUGCCGUCUAUGGGGUCGCACAGAGUCGGACACGACUGAAGUGACUUAGCAGCAGCAGCAGCAUAACCUUUAGUUAGAAUUCAGCAUUUUUAGAAAACCUCCAUCAAUUAUUACCCCAUUAUUCAUCAUAACAGGCUUCCCAGGUAGCUCAGUGGUAAAUAAUCUGCCAGUCAAUGCAGGAGACACAAGAGAUGUGGGUUCAGUCUCUGAGUCAGGAAGAUCCCCUGGAGUAGGAAACAGCAAACUGCUCCAGUAUUCUUGCCUGGAAAAUUCCAUGAACAGCGGAGCCUGGCGGGCUACAGUUCACAGAAUUGCAAAGUUGAACAUGACUGAGUGACUGAGGAUUAAACACCACUAAUCAUUCCAUAGUAAAGUCUUGGCUUGUCAGAACUUACCAGGUUAAAUCUGCUCCCAGCAACACCCUGGACCAGUCAAAUAUUUCAUUUGCUAGGGCUUCCCUGUUCACUCAGAUGGUAAAGCCCGCAAUGAGGGAGAGCGGGGUUCUAUCCCUGGGUCGGGAAGAUCUCCUGGAGAAGGAAAUGGCAACCCACUCCAGUACUCUUGCCCAGAAAAUGCCAUGGAUGGAGGUGUCUCGUAGGCUACAGUCGAUGGGGUCGCAAAAAGUGGGACACGACUGAGUGACUUCACUUUCACUUUCAGUAUAUAAAAAAGUCAGUGCAAGUCUAGGUGGACACUUCUAUCCAAAUGGUCACUAGCCUACAUGCACAAGGCCCCUCCUGGCCUGUAUGGCAACUUGUUGUUAUUGCUGUUCAGUCACUCAGUCAUCUCAGACUCUUUGCGACCCCAUGGACUGCAGCACGCCAGGCUUCCCUGUCCUUCACCAUCUCCCGGAGUUUGCCCAAACUCAUGAGUCGGUGAUGCCAUCCAACCAUCUCAUCUUCUGUCACCCCCUUCUCCUCUUGCCCUCAGUCUUUCCCAGCAUCAGGGUCUUUUCUAGUGAGUUGGCUCUUCGCAUCAGGUGGCCAAAGUACUAGAGUUUCAGCUUCAACAUCAGUCCUUCCAAUGAUUAUCCAGGGUUGAGCUCCUUUAGGAUGGACUCGUUGGAUCUCCUUGCAGUCCAAGGGACUCUCAAGAGUCUUCUCCAACACCACAGUUCAAAAGCAUCAAUUCUUGGGCCCUCAGCUUUCUUUAUGGUCCAGCUCUCACACCCAUACAUGACAUUGGUAAAACCAUAGCCUUGACUAGAUGGACCAUCGUCAACAAAGUAAUGUCUCUGCUUUUCAACACACUGUCUAGGUCAGUCAUAGCUCUUCUUCCAAGGAGCAAGCAUCUUUGAAUUUCAUGGCUGCAGUCACCAUCUGCAGUGAUAUGGCAGCUAAAGGAAAGCUACUCCCUCCAGUGGAAAAAGCACCAUGUCACAGGCUUGAUUUGCAGACAGUGCCUUUGUUCAAGCCAGAAGGCACUCCUUAGGGGUGGAGGGUGGAGGCUGGGGAGGACACACCGGCGCCAGGAAGCCCAGUAUGUCCAGAACUUGGAGUGGGUUUCCAUCCCCACUCACCCAUCAGCCGGGUGCCCAUAUACGGUGCACAAACCACACCACCGCAUGCUCCUGCUCUUUACAGAAGAUACAUAGAUGGAUAAACGAGCAGGAGUAGGGGAUGGGUUCCACUGAUUCCAGAUCAGUUCGGGGGAAAUUUUUAAGUACUUUGUCAUUUAUGAAUUAAAAUUAAUUUUAGAUUUGUUUUGUAAGAUAAAAUGUAUUAUUAUGUUUGUCUUUGAACAUUUCCCACUUCUCGUUUCCCUUAUUUUUCCCAGAGGAAGACCAAAAUAUCAUGGCUUUGCAACAUCACAACCAUGUUCUUUCUUGAAAUUAAUAAAAUUA
This 5736-nucleotide long non-coding RNA is filed under the name Ovis aries (sheep). RNAcentral describes it as "lncRNA (ENSOARG00000026733.1)". Lineage: Eukaryota; Metazoa; Chordata; Mammalia; Artiodactyla; Bovidae. The record is from RNAcentral.